UACAGAGGUCCCGAGCGUUGUUCGGAUUCACUGGGCGUAAAGGGUGCGUAGGUGGCGAGGAAAGUCGGAUGUGAAAGCUCGGAGCUCAACUCCGAAAUGGCAUUGGAAACUACCUUGCUCGAGGGUUGGAGGGGGGACUGGAAUUCUCGGUGUAGCAGUGAAAUGCGUAGAUAUCGAGAUGAACACCAGUGGCGAAGGCGAGUCCCUGGACAACUCCUGACACUGAGGCACGAAAGCUAGGGGAGCAAACAGG
This 253-nucleotide ribosomal RNA is filed under the name uncultured bacterium. RNAcentral's name for it is "partial 16S ribosomal RNA". It matches the Rfam family "Bacterial small subunit ribosomal RNA", at positions 524 to 776 of the family's 1533-position model. The record is from RNAcentral.